Long non-coding RNA from Camellia sinensis, 1785 nucleotides. RefSeq lists it as uncharacterized. NCBI's taxonomy places the organism in Eukaryota, Viridiplantae, Streptophyta, Magnoliopsida, Ericales, Theaceae. The record is from RefSeq and is a predicted model, not a curated record.
AUUUUUUUAUUAUUAUUAGGGUAUGAUAUUAUGAAUAUUGUGAUUAGACUACUGGGAUAUAGAUCACGUGAUCGAUCCAAGUUGAGAAAAAUCUCUCACUGAUUGUUUAGAUUAGGAACAAACUGGCAGGAAUUGUUCUCUCACAAGGACUGAAAAAUGUGAUGGUUAUGGAUAUGGUUUAGAUGCCUUAAGCUGCUUUAUUCCUUAUUCACUAGAGUUGACUUGCAAAACGUCUUUCAGAGCCAAUCUUUUUUCGUAUGUUUGGAUCAGAUUAGGGGGACCCUUUUGGCAAUCAAAAGGAUAUUGUGUUGCCACUCAAACCUCUCUCUCACACACACACACACAUUUUGUGUCCUAUAAAUAAGGCUCUUAGCCCCAUCUUGAAUGAUCAAGCCAGCAAGAAAUGUCUUCUGAGUUCAAUGGAUAUAUAUAAGCUUCCAAGGCAUUGGUUGUUCCCUCUCCCUCAAGGGCUUCUACUCUUGCUAUAUGCAGUGUGGUUGAUACUUGAUAGUUGAUACAUAAUAAGGUUUGCUCAUCAUCAAACACUUGAUCAUGAACUAUGGCAGACUAGAAGCACUUGGGGAGCUGGAAACAAACCUUGUCUUGCCUAAAAAAUGCCAGUGCCACAGCGCCUAAUCUUCCCGAGGCAACCUUUGCUCACUCUCCCUCAAGGGCUUCCACCACUUGGCUCUCCAAAAGUCGAAAAGGGUGGAACCCUUUAGGGAUGGUAAACAGAAGUUGUUGCGAUAUUUUCUAGAGUCUCCAAUCCAUGCAUGGCAACUCCAUUGGAGUUUUUCUCCGUUUGUGGGUAUGUAAUGGUAUAUGCCUUCAAUCUUCCCAUGUCAGCCUCUGCUCACUCUCCCUCAAAGACUUCCAACAUUUGGCUCUCCAAAAGCCGAAAGGGGAUGGAGCUCUUUAGGGAGAGUGAACAGAAGUUGUCGUGAUCUUUUCCAGAGUCUCGGUCCAUGCAUGACAACUCUACUGUUUCAUUAGUUAAAAAGUGCUAGUGCUUCAUCUUCCCGAGGCAGCCUUUGCUCACUCUCCCUCAAAGACUUCCACCACUUGGCUCUCCAAAAGCCGAAAAGGGGUGGAAAUCUUUGGGGAGAAUGAACGAAAGUUGUCACGUUCUUUUCCAGAGUGCCCAAUCCAUGUAUGGUAACUCAAUUGCAACCUUCCUGGAUUUCUGGAUAUGUAAUGAUUGGGUUCAUGCAAGUGCAAGAUGGUUGAUCCGUCAUCCGAAUCGUAUUAGCGAAUUUUGAAAUAUUUCAUCCAUCUGCCAAAAGACAUGCAUUUACCCAAAAUCAAUCAGAUUUCCUUCCUCGAUGGAUUUGGGACUUCUAUUAUCGUUUCUGUUGGUUUGAACUUGUUGAUCACUGACCAAUGUGCAAGAAAAACGAGGUUGGAGAUCAAACCUGUUUCCAGAUACAUGCUAACCCAUGAAGUAUGGGUAUAUCAAAAAACAAGUUAUACUCGUGCGGUGUAUUUAUCGCUGUAUGGUACCUUUUGUGGUACUUCUGUAUAUAUAUCGGGUACACGAAAUAUGUAUUUAAAUUUGUUCUUCUUAAUUUUUGACAUAAUCAUACGUAUCUAAGUAUAUAUCCAAGUAGGGGGGCAACUCGGGCGGGGUUCGGAGGUUAUCCAAGCCCAGCCCAAGUUGUGCUGAGACCUGCCCAAGCCCGAAUUGUAAUCCGAGGUUGUCUGCCCAAGCCUGACCCGAGUUAAACCCGAAUUGCAAAUGAAUUUCAAUUUUUUUUUUUGCAACUACACUAUGAAAUUAUUAAAAUU